AUGCAAGUCGAACGGUAACAGAAAGUAGCUUGCUACUUAGCUGACGAGCGGCGGACGGGUGAGUAAUGCUUGGGAACAUGCCUUGAGGUGGGGGACAACAGUUGGAAACGACUGCUAAUACCGCAUAAUGUCUACGGACCAAAGGGGGCUUCGGCUCUCGCCUUUAGAUUGGCCCAAGUGGGAUUAGCUAGUUGGUGAGGUAAUGGCUCACCAAGGCAACGAUCCCUAGCUGGUUUGAGAGGAUGAUCAGCCACACUGGAACUGAGACACGGUCCAGACUCCUACGGGAGGCAGCAGUGGGGAAUAUUGCACAAUGGGCGAAAGCCUGAUGCAGCCAUGCCGCGUGUGUGAAGAAGGCCUUCGGGUUGUAAAGCACUUUCAGUCAGGAGGAAAGGGUGUGAGUUAAUACCUCAUAUCUGUGACGUUACUGACAGAAGAAGCACCGGCUAACUCCGUGCCAGCAGCCGCGGUAAUACGGAGGGUGCGAGCGUUAAUCGGAAUUACUGGGCGUAAAGCGUACGCAGGCGGUUUGUUAAGCGAGAUGUGAAAGCCCCGGGCCCAACCUGGGAACUGCAUCUCGAACUGGCAAACUAGAGUGUGAUAGAGGGUGGUAGAAUUUCAGGUGUAGCGGUGAAAUGCGUAGAGAUCUGAAGGAAUACCGAUGGCGAAGGCAGCCACCUGGGUCAACACUGACGCUCAUGUACGAAAGCGUGGGGAGCAAACGGGAUUGGAUACCCCGGUAGUC
Molecule: ribosomal RNA, 745 nt
Filed under: Pseudoalteromonas haloplanktis
Lineage: Bacteria; Pseudomonadati; Pseudomonadota; Gammaproteobacteria; Alteromonadales; Pseudoalteromonadaceae
Description: bacterial SSU rRNA
Rfam family: Bacterial small subunit ribosomal RNA
Source: RNAcentral